UAGGGAAUCUUCCACAAUGGGCGAAAGCCUGAUGGAGCAACGCCGCGUGAGUGAGGAAGGCCUUCGGGUUGUAAAACUCUGUCAUUCGGGACGAACCGGAGUCUGAGGAAAUGCAGACUCUCUGACGGUACCGGAGGAGGAAGCCCCGGCUAACUACGUGCCAGCAGCCGCGGUAAUACGUAGGGGGCAAGCGUUGUCCGGAUUCACUGGGCGUAAAGCGCGCGCAGGCGGUGAUGUAAGUCUGAGGUGAAAACCCGAAGCUCAACUUCGGGACUGCCUUGGAUACUGCGUCACUUGAGGAUAGGAGAGGCAAGGGGAAUUCCACGUGUAGCGGUGAAAUGCGUAGAGAUGUGGAGGAACACCUGUGGCGAAGGCGCCUUGCUGGCCUAUUUCUGACGCUGAGGCGCGAAAGCGUGGGGAGCAAACAGG
This 429-nucleotide ribosomal RNA is filed under the name Actinomycetes bacterium. RNAcentral describes it as "Actinobacteria bacterium partial 16S ribosomal RNA". It matches the Rfam family "Bacterial small subunit ribosomal RNA", at positions 355 to 776 of the family's 1533-position model. The record is from RNAcentral. Lineage: Bacteria; Bacillati; Actinomycetota; Actinomycetes.